This 253-nucleotide ribosomal RNA is filed under the name uncultured bacterium. RNAcentral's name for it is "partial 16S ribosomal RNA". It matches the Rfam family "Bacterial small subunit ribosomal RNA", at positions 524 to 776 of the family's 1533-position model. The record is from RNAcentral.
UACGGAGGGCGCAAGCGUUAUCCGGAUUUAUUGGGUUUAAAGGGUCCGUAGGCGGAUCUGUAAGUCAGUGGUGAAAUCUCAUAGCUUAACUAUGAAACUGCCAUUGAUACUGCAGGUCUUGAGUAAGGUAGAAGUAGCUGGAAUAAGUAGUGUAGCGGUGAAAUGCAUAGAUAUUACUUAGAACACCAAUUGCGAAGGCAGGUUACUAUGUCUUAACUGACGCUGAUGGACGAAAGCGUGGGGAGCGAACAGG